UACAGCCACCAUCAAUACUCUGAACAUAUCUGAUCUUGUCUGAAUUUGGAUGAUAAAGAGGGUUGGUUCUGAUUAGUACAUAGAUGGGAGACCACCAGGAAUCUCCAGGUGGGGAUAGGA
Molecule: ribosomal RNA, 120 nt
Filed under: Pogona vitticeps (central bearded dragon)
Lineage: Eukaryota; Metazoa; Chordata; Lepidosauria; Squamata; Agamidae
Source: RNAcentral